CUGCAUUCUUUUAAACCCCCUGGUAGUUUUUGUACUGACAUCCAGGACUAGAAGGGAUGCAAAAUUAAAUGUUCCAGAGAUUUUUCCAAAGUGAGGAGCAGCCUUCGCUUUGCUUCUCACUAUUUCACGUCUCUGACAUCU
RNAcentral lists this small nucleolar RNA (141 nucleotides) under Callorhinchus milii (elephant shark). RNAcentral describes it as "Small nucleolar RNA SNORA14 (ENSCMIG00000011421.1)". It matches the Rfam family "Small nucleolar RNA SNORA14". Rfam says of the family: ACA14 is a member of the H/ACA class of snoRNA that guide the sites of modification of uridines to pseudouridines. The record is from Rfam by way of RNAcentral. Lineage: Eukaryota; Metazoa; Chordata; Chondrichthyes; Chimaeriformes; Callorhinchidae.